Molecule: ribosomal RNA, 490 nt
Filed under: uncultured bacterium
Lineage: Bacteria
Description: partial 16S ribosomal RNA
Rfam family: Bacterial small subunit ribosomal RNA
Source: RNAcentral
AUUGAACGCUGGCGGCAGGCCUAACACAUGCAAGUCGAACGGUAACAGGAAGAAGCUUGCUUCUUUGCUGACGAGUGGCGGACGGGUGAGUAAUGUCUGGGAAACUGCCUGAUGGAGGGGGAUAACUACUGGAAACGGUAGCUAAUACCGCAUAACGUCGCAAGACCAAAGAGGGGGACCUUCGGGCCUCUUGCCAUCGGAUGUGCCCAGAUGGGAUUAGCUUGUUGGUGGGGUAACGGCUCACCAAGGCGACGAUCCCUAGCUGGUCUGAGAGGAUGACCGGCCACACUGGAACUGAGACACGGUCAAGACUCCUACGGGAGGCAGCAGUGGGGAAUAUUGCACAAUGGGCGCAAGCCUGAUGCAGCCAUGCCGCGUGUAUGAAGAAGGCCUUCGGGUUGUAAAGUACUUUCAGCGGGGAGGAAGGGAGUAAAGUUAAUACCUUUGCUCAUUGACGUUACCCGCAGAAGAAGCACCGGCUAACUCCGUG